GAUGAACGCUGGCGGCGUGCUUAACACAUGCAAGUCGAACGGUGAAGGCGGAGCUUGCUCUGCUGGAUCAGUGGCGAACGGGUGAGUAACACGUGAGCAAUCUGCCCCUGACUCUGGGAUAAGCGCUGGAAACGGCGUCUAAUACUGGAUACGAGCUGCGAAGGCAUCUUCAGCAGCUGGAAAGAACUUCGGUCAGGGAUGAGCUCGCGGCCUAUCAGCUUGUUGGUGAGGUAACGGCUCACCAAGGCGUUGACGGGUAGCCGGCCUGAGAGGGUGACCGGCCACACUGGGACUGAGACACGGCCCAGACUCCUACGGGAGGCAGCAGUGGGGAAUAUUGCACAAUGGGCGAAAGCCUGAUGCAGCAACGCCGCGUGAGGGACGACGGCCUUCGGGUUGUAAACCUCUUUUAGCAGGGAAGAAGCGAAAGUGACGGUACCUGCAGAAAAAGCGCCGGCUAACUACGUG
This 468-nucleotide ribosomal RNA is filed under the name uncultured bacterium. RNAcentral describes it as "partial 16S ribosomal RNA". It matches the Rfam family "Bacterial small subunit ribosomal RNA", at positions 28 to 507 of the family's 1533-position model. The record is from RNAcentral.